This 614-nucleotide long non-coding RNA is filed under the name Volvox carteri. RNAcentral's name for it is "long non-coding RNA (VCAR_LNC004148)". Lineage: Eukaryota; Viridiplantae; Chlorophyta; Chlorophyceae; Chlamydomonadales; Volvocaceae. The record is from RNAcentral.
GGAAGAAAACGAAGGGGUUCGUCCCCUUUAGUUCAUCCCCUUUAGGGGAACUAAAGGGGAUGAACCAAAGGGGAAGAAGUCCCCUUUAGUUCCCCUAAAGGGGUGAAAACGAAGGGGAAGAAGAAGGGGGUUCAUCUUCUUCGUUAUCACCAAAGGGGAAGACGAAGGGGUGUUCCUCCCCGAAGGGGAACUUCUUCAUCCCCUUUAGGGGAACUAAAGAAGACGGAGUCCCCUAAAGGGGAAGAAGGGGUGUUCCCCUUCUUCCCCUAAAGAAGACGGAGUCCCCUAAAGGGGAAGAAGGGGUUCCCCUUUGGGGAAGAAAACGAAGGGGUUCCCCUUUGGGGAAGAAAACGAAGGGGAAGAACCAAAGGGGUGUUCCUCCCCGAAGGGGAACUUCUUCAUCCCCUUUAGGGGAACUAAAGAAGACGGAGUCCCCUAAAGGGGAAGAAGGGGUUCCCCUAAAGGGGAAGAACUCCCCUACGGUUCCCCUUUAGGGGAUGAAGAAGNGGGUGUUCCCCUUCUUCCCCUAAAGGGGACGGAGACUUUGGUUCCCCUUUGGGGAAGAAGAAGAAGAGCACUAAAGUUCAUCCCCGAAGGGGAACAUCCCCUAAAGU